Long non-coding RNA from Bufo gargarizans (Asiatic toad), 593 nucleotides. RefSeq lists it as uncharacterized. NCBI's taxonomy places the organism in Eukaryota, Metazoa, Chordata, Amphibia, Anura, Bufonidae. The transcript is spliced from 3 exons. The record is from RefSeq and is a predicted model, not a curated record.
AAUGCAGAGAGAACAGAGUGCAACCAUUAGUCUUUUCUGUACUGAUCAUAGCUAUCAAUAUGCUCAGACUGGUCCACCGGGACUCCAGAAUCAACAGAUUGGCAUCCCUGUAUAUAAGAUACAGGCGCUGUGCCACCAAAAACCACCUUCUCCAGUGAGGCGCACACUCUACAACCUCAGGCUGUCACUGUAGCGGGGCCAGUUGCCUCCCUCCAUGGGCCCUCCUCCUGAAUGCUGAAGAUGAAUGGGAUUAAGCCAACGCUGUUUACACAUAUGGAAAACACUUGGAGUUUUUUAUUAACACUGGGGGAGCUGGAGGUGUGGAUGAAACAGAAGGACAAGAUGAGGGGACUUUGCCAAGGCAAGACUCAAGCAAGAACCAUCUUCUCAAAGGUGCUCCGUAGUUGGAAUGGAAGCAAGGGGCCUUCUGAUGGUCUCCAGGACUGUCAUGCCCUGGCCAUUAAAAACUGAUUGGCGGAAUUUGUAUGGAUUCAGGAGCAUUACAGUUUAUAUUACAAACAAUCAAAAGCUUGUAGAUUCAAGUUCCCUAAGGGAAUUUAAAAAUGUCAAAAGUUGAAUAAAGUAUUUAAAAA